ACCUGGUUGGCUCAGUGGGUAGAGUGUGUGACUCUUGAUCUCAGGGGUUGUGGGUUCAAGCCCUACAUUGGAUG
Molecule: transfer RNA, 74 nt
Filed under: Felis catus (domestic cat)
Lineage: Eukaryota; Metazoa; Chordata; Mammalia; Carnivora; Felidae
Rfam family: tRNA
About the family: Transfer RNA (tRNA) molecules are approximately 80 nucleotides in length. Their secondary structure includes four short double-helical elements and three loops (D, anti-codon, and T loops). Further hydrogen bonds mediate the characteristic L-shaped molecular structure. tRNAs have two regions of fundamental functional importance: the anti-codon, which is responsible for specific mRNA codon recognition, and the 3' end, to which the tRNAs corresponding amino acid is attached (by aminoacyl-tRNA synthetases). tRNAs cope with the degeneracy of the genetic code in two manners: having more than one tRNA (with a specific anti-codon) for a particular amino acid; and 'wobble' base-pairing, i.e. permitting non-standard base-pairing at the 3rd anti-codon position.
Source: Rfam by way of RNAcentral